Molecule: ribosomal RNA, 2928 nt
Filed under: Escherichia coli
Lineage: Bacteria; Pseudomonadati; Pseudomonadota; Gammaproteobacteria; Enterobacterales; Enterobacteriaceae
Description: 23S ribosomal RNA
Rfam family: Bacterial large subunit ribosomal RNA
Source: RNAcentral
GGGUUGUGAGGUUAAGCGACUAAGCGUACACGGUGGAUGCCCUGGCAGUCAGAGGCGAUGAAGGACGUGCUAAUCUGCGAUAAGCGUCGGUAAGGUGAUAUGAACCGUUAUAACCGGCGAUUUCCGAAUGGGGAAACCCAGUGUGAUUCGUCACACUAUCAUUAACUGAAUCCAUAGGUUAAUGAGGCGAACCGGGGGAACUGAAACAUCUAAGUACCCCGAGGAAAAGAAAUCAACCGAGAUUCCCCCAGUAGCGGCGAGCGAACGGGGAGGAGCCCAGAGCCUGAAUCAGUGUGUGUGUUAGUGGAAGCGUCUGGAAAGGCGCGCGAUACAGGGUGACAGCCCCGUACACAAAAAUGCACAUGCUGUGAGCUCGAUGAGUAGGGCGGGACACGUGGUAUCCUGUCUGAAUAUGGGGGGACCAUCCUCCAAGGCUAAAUACUCCUGACUGACCGAUAGUGAACCAGUACCGUGAGGGAAAGGCGAAAAGAACCCCGGCGAGGGGAGUGAAAAAGAACCUGAAACCGUGUACGUACAAGCAGUGGGAGCCUCUUAAUGGGGUGACUGCGUACCUUUUGUAUAAUGGGUCAGCGACUUAUAUUCUGUAGCAAGGUUAACCGAAUAGGGGAGCCGAAGGGAAACCGAGUCUUAACUGGGCGUUAAGUUGCAGGGUAUAGACCCGAAACCCGGUGAUCUAGCCAUGGGCAGGUUGAAGGUUGGGUAACACUAACUGGAGGACCGAACCGACUAAUGUUGAAAAAUUAGCGGAUGACUUGUGGCUGGGGGUGAAAGGCCAAUCAAACCGGGAGAUAGCUGGUUCUCCCCGAAAGCUAUUUAGGUAGCGCCUCGUGAAUUCAUCUCCGGGGGUAGAGCACUGUUUCGGCAAGGGGGUCAUCCCGACUUACCAACCCGAUGCAAACUGCGAAUACCGGAGAAUGUUAUCACGGGAGACACACGGCGGGUGCUAACGUCCGUCGUGAAGAGGGAAACAACCCAGACCGCCAGCUAAGGUCCCAAAGUCAUGGUUAAGUGGGAAACGAUGUGGGAAGGCCCAGACAGCCAGGAUGUUGGCUUAGAAGCAGCCAUCAUUUAAAGAAAGCGUAAUAGCUCACUGGUCGAGUCGGCCUGCGCGGAAGAUGUAACGGGGCUAAACCAUGCACCGAAGCUGCGGCAGCGACACUAUGUGUUGUUGGGUAGGGGAGCGUUCUGUAAGCCUGCGAAGGUGUACUGUGAGGUAUGCUGGAGGUAUCAGAAGUGCGAAUGCUGACAUAAGUAACGAUAAAGCGGGUGAAAAGCCCGCUCGCCGGAAGACCAAGGGUUCCUGUCCAACGUUAAUCGGGGCAGGGUGAGUCGACCCCUAAGGCGAGGCCGAAAGGCGUAGUCGAUGGGAAACAGGUUAAUAUUCCUGUACUUGGUGUUACUGCGAAGGGGGGACGGAGAAGGCUAUGUUGGCCGGGCGACGGUUGUCCCGGUUUAAGCGUGUAGGCUGGUUUUCCAGGCAAAUCCGGAAAAUCAAGGCUGAGGCGUGAUGACGAGGCACUACGGUGCUGAAGCAACAAAUGCCCUGCUUCCAGGAAAAGCCUCUAAGCAUCAGGUAACAUCAAAUCGUACCCCAAACCGACACAGGUGGUCAGGUAGAGAAUACCAAGGCGCUUGAGAGAACUCGGGUGAAGGAACUAGGCAAAAUGGUGCCGUAACUUCGGGAGAAGGCACGCUGAUAUGUAGGUGAAGUCCCUCGCGGAUGGAGCUGAAAUCAGUCGAAGAUACCAGCUGGCUGCAACUGUUUAUUAAAAACACAGCACUGUGCAAACACGAAAGUGGACGUAUACGGUGUGACGCCUGCCCGGUGCCGGAAGGUUAAUUGAUGGGGUUAGCGCAAGCGAAGCUCUUGAUCGAAGCCCCGGUAAACGGCGGCCGUAACUAUAACGGUCCUAAGGUAGCGAAAUUCCUUGUCGGGUAAGUUCCGACCUGCACGAAUGGCGUAAUGAUGGCCAGGCUGUCUCCACCCGAGACUCAGUGAAAUUGAACUCGCUGUGAAGAUGCAGUGUACCCGCGGCAAGACGGAAAGACCCCGUGAACCUUUACUAUAGCUUGACACUGAACAUUGAGCCUUGAUGUGUAGGAUAGGUGGGAGGCUUUGAAGUGUGGACGCCAGUCUGCAUGGAGCCGACCUUGAAAUACCACCCUUUAAUGUUUGAUGUUCUAACGUUGGCCCCUGAUCGGGGUUGCGGACAGUGUCUGGUGGGUAGUUUGACUGGGGCGGUCUCCUCCUAAAGAGUAACGGAGGAGCACGAAGGUUGGCUAAUCCUGGUCGGACAUCAGGAGGUUAGUGCAAUGGCAUAAGCCAGCUUGACUGCGAGCGUGACGGCGCGAGCAGGUGCGAAAGCAGGUCAUAGUGAUCCGGUGGUUCUGAAUGGAAGGGCCAUCGCUCAACGGAUAAAAGGUACUCCGGGGAUAACAGGCUGAUACCGCCCAAGAGUUCAUAUCGACGGCGGUGUUUGGCACCUCGAUGUCGGCUCAUCACAUCCUGGGGCUGAAGUAGGUCCCAAGGGUAUGGCUGUUCGCCAUUUAAAGUGGUACGCGAGCUGGGUUUAGAACGUCGUGAGACAGUUCGGUCCCUAUCUGCCGUGGGCGCUGGAGAACUGAGGGGGGCUGCUCCUAGUACGAGAGGACCGGAGUGGACGCAUCACUGGUGUUCGGGUUGUCAUGCCAAUGGCACUGCCCGGUAGCUAAAUGCGGAAGAGAUAAGUGCUGAAAGCAUCUAAGCACGAAACUUGCCCCGAGAUGAGUUCUCCCUGACUCCCUGAGAGUCCUGAAGGAACGUUGAAGACGACGACGUUGAUAGGCCGGGUGUGUAAGCGCAGCGAUGCGUUGAGCUAACCGGUACUAAUGAACCGUGAGGCUUAACCUUACAACGCCGAAGCUGUU